Molecule: ribosomal RNA, 253 nt
Filed under: uncultured bacterium
Lineage: Bacteria
Description: partial 16S ribosomal RNA
Rfam family: Bacterial small subunit ribosomal RNA
Source: RNAcentral
UACGUAGGGUGCGAGCGUUAAUCGGAAUUACUGGGCGUAAAGCGUGCGCAGGCGGUUUCGUAAGCCAGAUGUGAAAGCCCCGGGCUUAACCUGGGAACGGCAUUUGGGACUGCGAGGCUAGAGUGUGGCAGAGGGAGGUGGAAUUCCUGGUGUAGCAGUGAAAUGCGUAGAUAUCAGGAGGAACACCGAUGGCGAAGGCAGCCUCCUGGGCUAACACUGACGCUCAUGCACGAAAGCGUGGGGAGCAAACAGG